UUNCAGCGUGCACUUAUUAGUUUUUA
RNAcentral lists this non-coding RNA (26 nucleotides) under Mus musculus (house mouse). Lineage: Eukaryota; Metazoa; Chordata; Mammalia; Rodentia; Muridae. The record is from RNAcentral.